Molecule: long non-coding RNA, 2514 nt
Filed under: Cricetulus griseus (Chinese hamster)
Lineage: Eukaryota; Metazoa; Chordata; Mammalia; Rodentia; Cricetidae
Description: lncRNA (ENSCGRG00015031510.1)
Source: RNAcentral
GCCAUUUUGAAGUUUCCAGAAGUGAAUAUGAAGGAGAGGAGAAUCUUAAAUUAAGAAGAAAGUUCCUUUUCCCAGAGUUCUUUGCAUCACAGUUGCACAUUCUUUGAUGAAGACUGCAAGAUCUUCUGUUUCUACUUACUCCCUUAGGCUCUCACAAACCGCAACAAAAUUGACCCCUCCUAUAGACUCUGAAUUAAUUCCAAGAUGACUUACGUUAUUUUUCUCUGAGUCUGACAAAAAAAAUCGUCCCUGAGUGGUCAUGUCUCUGCUUUCUUACAGAGAAUACAGGAAAGUCACAUAGAGACCAAAAGGCCUGAGAGAAGGAAAAGAAAGGAAAAUCCUCAGAAUGAACCUGGAAGAAAUCAGGGGCAGCAAGAGGAUGAGAUGGAGACCCCGCUAGAACCAGAGAGCCUCCUUCUUCCCUCUGAACUCCUAUCUUCAAUGCCCGGGGUGCUGCCUCCCAGAUCCACCUCUUUGAGGUGCCUAGAGCACCACCAGCUGGCGACUGGUGGAAUGGCAUGAUCAGAGCCAUCUGAGUUGUCUGGCAAGGGGCUCAUACUUAACAUUCCUUAACUAUGAGAGAUUGGGUAAGUUUCCUUCUGGACCACUGCCCAACGGAGCUUUGAUGGAAAGGAGAAGGGAGAGAUGGCAGAAUAAAGAGUACCUGCCUCUACCUGCCCUCUCUUUCUCCCCUCACACUUCUCCAGAGAAAGUGCCAACAGGCAGCUGCAUGUCAGAGUCCUUCCCAGAGCAUGCUGUAACCUUUCUGUGGGUCUGCAAGCAUCCUGAGCAGACUAGAACCCCUUGGAAUGUCUGGGCACUGUGCUCUGAUCCACAGAAUAGUGAUUGGUUGAAAUGCCUGGGCACUGUGCUCUGAUCCACAGGAUAGCGAUUGAUUGGAAUGCCUGGACACUGUGCCAGAAUCCACAAGCUGGUAAUUGGCGACAAAGAAACCAAAGGCCUGGAUCACAGCGUGGUUCUCUCUGAAUCUGGGCGGAAGCCUUGUCUAGCUUCUUCUGCAUCAUUGAAUCACCUUGAGCCUAUGCUCAAACCUGGAUCACAGAAGCCUGCAGGGUAGGAAUAGUCACUGUAAUUUCUCAUGUUUAAUCCUGACUUUUAUCCAGUUCAAAAUGUACUGACUCAUUAACCUCCCAAGAAACAGCUCAGAUUUUAAAGUACCCAGGGUAGGAUAAAUGAAGAAACUUGUCAAUAUGUCUAGAUGAAAAGACAAAAUUUUUGCAUAAUUAAAAUAGGCCAAAAAACAAUUUGUGUGUGUGCCACAUAAAAUCAUGUUGUUAUAAUUAAGUUUUCUCCAACUAAAGACCUUUGAAAGAUUGGUUGGCUCUUAAUUGAAAACAGUUGAGACAGAACGUUUACAAGCAGGAAGUGAUGCUAACAUGGGGAAGAGAUGACUGGGGACUCCUUUGGCCACAAAUCACUCUGCCCACACAACCCAUUUCAGCUUUCUGGGACACAAGAGCACAUCCCCAUAGGGGACAGCACUAAGAAAGAUUUCCUUCAGCCAUGGAGAAAUGACCUGUCAGCAGCAGCAACAUGAAGUCCCCCUCCGUCCCCUCCCUGGGGCCUGGAUCCCUGUCCUCCAGCCCCUGGUCAACAGAAGUGUAACCCUCUCCGGCAUCUCCUAUGCCAAUAGCAAUGUCCAUCACCCUCCUCUUCCUGGAUAUGUGGUGGCUGGAUUCCCCUCUCAUCACAGAUUCACUUUCUUUUGAAAACCGGAACCACAGAUAUCUCAGAAGAGGCUUCUCCCUAACUCUAAUGAAACCUGAAACAUCUGCAAUAAACCAACCAGGGUCUCCUAUCUGCCACAUACACAACACAGGACACCUCUUCAAGGCUUGUGCUUCUGUAGUGAGCACCACUGCCAUGGAGAAAAGUGAACCUAAGAAGAGUAAGGGGGCCAGUAAUGGCUACACUGAGCAUGAUUGAAACAUUGGGCUAUAAGAUAUUAAUACUGCAACCAAAACAUCAAAAAGCCACCCUCAUCUGAUAUUUGGACAUUCAUUCUAAGGUAAGCAAUGCCAAAAUACACACAAGAAGUUUAAAACUGUUUCUGUGGAAGCAGGAGUAAAGCUUAGAAGGCAUCCCUGGGUUUUGUUAAAAUACUUAAGGGACAUAAGCCAGCUGGUAAUCCCAGCAAUUGAAGAGAUGAAGGCAGACCAUCCUCCACUACAUAGCGAGUCUGAGGACAACCUAGGCUACAGAACUACAUGAGACAUCUAAAGAAUGAGAGAGAGAGAGAGAGAGAGAGAGAGAGAGAGAGAGAGAGAGAGAGAGGUGUGUUUCCUUCAUUCAGGAAACAUAAAACUUUAUAAGCAAAACAAAUAGAGCAGCCAUCAGAAUUCUAGUUGAUGAGUAUUAACAAUGAAUUUUAACUGGGUGGUAGGCUGCAUAAUAAAUACUCCUGAAAGAUGUUCCAUGCUAUGCCCAAACUUAUGAACAUGUUACCUGACAUCUCAGUUAAGGAUUCAGAGAUGAGAAUAUUGAAUACAUUUG